Molecule: ribosomal RNA, 843 nt
Filed under: uncultured bacterium
Lineage: Bacteria
Description: bacterial SSU rRNA
Rfam family: Bacterial small subunit ribosomal RNA
Source: RNAcentral
GACGAACGCUGGCGGCGUGCCUAACACAUGCAAGUCGAGCGAGGGACUUCGGUCCCUAGCGGCGGACGGGUGAGUAACACGUGGGUAACCUGCCUCAUAGAGGGGGAUAGCCUCCCGAAAGGGAGAUUAAUACCGCAUAAGAUCAUGCUUUCGCAUGGAAGAAUGAUUAAAGGAGAAAUCCGCUAUGAGAUGGACCCGCGGCGCAUUAGCUAGUUGGUGAGGUAACGGCUCACCAAGGCGACGAUGCGUAGCCGACCUGAGAGGGUGAUCGGCCACAUUGGAACUGAGACACGGUCCAGACUCCUACGGGAGGCAGCAGUGGGGAAUAUUGCACAAUGGGCGAAAGCCUGAUGCAGCAACGCCGCGUGAGUGAAGAAGGCCUUCGGGUUGUAAAGCUCUGUCUUUUGGGACGAUAAUGACGGUACCAAAGGAGGAAGCCACGGCUAACUACGUGCCAGCAGCCGCGGUAAUACGUAGGUGGCAAGCGUUGUCCGGAUUUACUGGGCGUAAAGGAUGCGUAGGUGGAUAUUUAAGUGGGAUGUGAAAUACCCGGGCUCAACUUGGGUGCUGCAUUCCAAACUGGAUAUCUAGAGUGCAGGAGAGGAAAGUGGAAUUCCUAGUGUAGCAGUGAAAUGCGUAGAUAUUAGGAGGAACACCAGUGGCGAAGGCGGCUUUCUGGACUGUAACUGACACUGAGGCAUGAAAGCGUGGGGAGCAAACAGGAUUAGAUACCCUGGUAGUCCACGCCGUAAACGAUGGGUACUAGGUGUGGGAGUUGUCAUGACUUCCGUGCCGUCGUUAACACAGUAAGUACCCCGCCUGGGGAGUACGAUCGCAAGAUUA